RNAcentral lists this ribosomal RNA (253 nucleotides) under uncultured bacterium. Its description in RNAcentral is "partial 16S ribosomal RNA". It matches the Rfam family "Bacterial small subunit ribosomal RNA", at positions 524 to 776 of the family's 1533-position model. The record is from RNAcentral.
UACAGAGGCCUCGAGCGUUAGGCGGAAUCACUGGGCUUAAAGCGUGUGUAGGCGGACUUCUAAGUGCCUUGUGAAAGCCCACGGCUCAACCGUGGAGGGUCAUUGGAAACUGGGAGACUUGAGUGCAGAAGAGGAAAGUGGAAUUCCAUGUGUAGCGGUGAAAUGCGUAGAGAUAUGGAGGAACACCAGUGGCGAAGGCGACUUUCUGGUCUGUAACUGACACUGAGGCGCGAAAGCGUGGGGAGCAAACAGG